GCUAAGGGCGAUCUGGCUGCGACAUCUGUCACCCCAUUGAUGGCUGCGGUUGAUUUGGCUGAUCUGGCUGGCUAGGCGGGUGUCCCCUUCCUCCCUCACCGCUCCAUGUGCGUCCCUCCCCAAGCAGUUCACUGGGUCGAAGAGGACGGCCUUCCCUGAACAGAGACGGACUGGUCUUGGGCCGAGGGUAUAUACGAGGAGCUGCUCUUCCCUGCUAGAACCUCCAGACAAGCUGUCAACGUCUAUUGUCAAUAUAUUUAAACUUAUUUUCUUUUUCAUGUAUAUACGUUUUAAUAAUAGAACUACUAAUAU
RNAcentral lists this small nuclear RNA (312 nucleotides) under Sorex araneus (European shrew). Its description in RNAcentral is "7SK RNA (ENSSARG00000017962.1)". It matches the Rfam family "7SK RNA". From Rfam's summary of the family: 7SK was discovered as an abundant small nuclear RNA in the mid-70s but a possible function has only recently been suggested. Two independent studies have found that 7SK RNA binds the CDK9/cyclin T complex (known as elongation factor P-TEFb). The record is from RNAcentral. Lineage: Eukaryota; Metazoa; Chordata; Mammalia; Eulipotyphla; Soricidae.